Long non-coding RNA from Fundulus heteroclitus (mummichog), 790 nucleotides. RefSeq lists it as uncharacterized. The transcript is spliced from 4 exons. The record is from RefSeq and is a predicted model, not a curated record. NCBI's taxonomy places the organism in Eukaryota, Metazoa, Chordata, Actinopteri, Cyprinodontiformes, Fundulidae.
CCCUUUUUUUCUCAUUUUCUAGACGGCAAAAUUUAAUCUAGUACCCUCCCCGACAACCCCAACACUCCCCAUCCCUCCUUCUGCCGGCGUCCUCUUCUGCUCCCCUACUCAUCUUCUUUUUUUCCCCCCUCUGCUUCCUUCUUCCCUGCUACUUUUUUUAUUUUUUUCAAACCGUCACAUUCAAAGAGAUGCAAAUUUCCUUAGAGCUGGGACCUGAUGGAGUUGCAGUGACUGUGAAAGGGUUUGGAGAAAGUAUGUGCAUGGAGGGUGGGUGGAGCCACUUCUCUGCUCUUUGGUCAGUCUGACCACAUCGCCUGUGAAACUGCGAAUGGGCUAAAGCUCAGCAUGGGGUGACACUGCCAAGCACAUUGAAGAGAGCACUAGUAAAGAUGGAUUACAUGUGAACAGAUCUUUGACAAGCCGAGCGACAACCAUGCAGGCAGCAGCAGACAGUAGGAGACAAAGAAGUGAGGAGCCCAGUGGGACGUCCAUGGAGGAAAGAGGAGGAAACAGGAGCUGGAACACAGGUUUGCCCUGGCUUCCCUGUCCGACCCGUAGGCAAGGUUGUGACUGCAGCCAUGUUGUCAUCCGUGGUUCUUGGUUGUUAUACACUCUGAUUUGAUGCGGUGAAGCAUCUUUGACAAGCUCCAGGACUGUCUCCUCCUGAUGGAGGGACGUCCGCACGCUCAAGAACACUGCAUGUCCUUCCAAAGUGAUCUCUUCAAACAACAUUAUAACAAUUUGGUGAUGGUCUGUUGAUUUCCUUAAAACUCCCACAAUGUAAAUAUUG